UUGUAUUGUCGCCUUAGAUAGAUUCUGAAGCAUUGAAUGGUAUUUGGCGUGGAAUGAGUUAUUUUUCCUACUCAACAAAGUGUCGAAACCAGGGGCGUAAAUGUGGAUGUGUGUGUGUGUGUGUGUGUGUGUGUGUGUGUGUGUGUGUGGGGGGGUGGUUCACCCCCCCCCCCCCAGAGAAAUGAUCCAGUCGGUCUCAAA
Non-coding RNA from Paramuricea clavata, 201 nucleotides. Lineage: Eukaryota; Metazoa; Cnidaria; Anthozoa; Malacalcyonacea; Plexauridae. The record is from the annotation of a GenBank genome assembly.